UACGUAGGGUGCGAGCGUUGUCCGGAAUUAUUGGGCGUAAAGAGCUCGUAGGCGGUCUGUCGCGUCUGCUGUGAAAACCCGAGGCUCAACCUCGGGCCUGCAGUGGGUACGGGCAGACUAGAGUGCGGUAGGGGAGAUUGGAAUUCCUGGUGUAGCGGUGGAAUGCGCAGAUAUCAGGAGGAACACCAAUGGCGAAGGCAGAUCUCUGGGCCGUAACUGACGCUGAGGAGCGAAAGCAUGGGGAGCGAACAGG
Molecule: ribosomal RNA, 253 nt
Filed under: uncultured bacterium
Lineage: Bacteria
Description: partial 16S ribosomal RNA
Rfam family: Bacterial small subunit ribosomal RNA
Source: RNAcentral